UGAGAGGAAAGCGCAGCACCCUGGCUCCUGGCUGGCCGGGCCCCUUCGGUCACAGCCUCUCAGCCACGCUGGGAUGCGGCUCCGAGUCCGCUGGCCCUCGGACCGCCGGCGCCUCGUCUCUCCCGACGCGUUUCCCGCCCUUCCGAGGGCUCGCGCCAUGCUCCAGGGCCUGAGGGACCCGAGCUUGAGCCGCCCCAAACGCCACACGAACGCCAAAGGAGCAAUCUGGACGGCGAGGACAGCCUGCUCCCGGGCUUCCAGAGGUAGCGCCCGACUGCCUAGGCUGGUCUUGAACUCCUGACCUGAAGAGAUCCUACUGCCUUGGCCUCCCAAAGUGCUAGGACUAUAGUCAUAAACUACCACACCUGACCACAACUUGUAUUUGGAUAAGAAUUGCAUUUAACCUGAAGAACAAUUUGGUCCCACAGCUUUGGGAAACAAGACAUCUUUUUCUCUCAGCCCAGCCCUCUGCAGUGAAGGCAAUGUUCCAAUCAGCUGGCUGGCGGGCAGAUGAAAUCCUCACGAAAGCCUCAGGACGGGAGGAACUCUGUGCUGGGUUGUCGAAUUAGGACAGGAGAUGAUGGUGUAAACCAUUGCGGCAUCUGGAGGAGUGGCACAUGUCCAUGGAUAAGACCCAAGCCCUACUAUACAACAUAGGAGAGCCUCAGAAAUAGACUCUGUAGGCUAGGCACAGCAGCACAUGCUUGUAAUCCCAGCACUUUGGAAGGCUGAAGCAGGAGGAUCCCUUGAGGCCAAGAGUUCGAGAAUAGCCUGGACAACAAGGGUGGGCACCAGAAUUUGCCUUCAGUGGAGUAAAUGAACAAGCUGGUUACCUCUGUGGGAAAUCACCAAGGAGAAAAAUCCCUUCCUACAACCUCAAAAUUUUAGCAGAAUGCCUCCCAGCAUGAAUCUAAAAAGUCUGCAAACUAAGAAAUAAAAUGGAAAAGGUCUCUAAAAUUUGAUUUCAUGACCCACUAGUGGAUCACAACUUGUUUGAAAGCCACCACUUGAAAAACAUCUAGGAGCAGAUCUUACAUACAUGAGUAGUUCGAUAAGCUUUUGAAAACUGUGUUAGACAAGAGUGGAAAAGUAAGUAUCCAAUGUACUCAAUACUAAUAUGAAACCAGCAGACUAACAAAUACACACCCACGCAGGAGAAAAACACAAACUCAAGUGGGAGAAGGGUAGGGGAUUGGUAUGCUCUUACCUAACAGGCACAAUGUAAGGGUAUAUGGCACAGCUUCUGGGGAAGGGGAACAACUGUAACUUGGACUUUACCUAACAAAUGCAAACGAUGUAACUGAAUCAUUUGUACUCUCACAUUAAUCUGCAAUUUGAAAAAAAUUGUAUUAGAUGUUCACUUAUGUUUACGUAGCCAGAAAAGUGAAUACAAAUAUAUCAAUUGCUGGAUUCUCCUUAUUUCCAUCUCAGAAUUCCAUCUGAGAUGAUCAUUCCAUCAUUCCAUCUCAAAUGAUUCAAUAUUAGAUACAUUGUAAUGUUCCAAUGUAUUUAAACAUUGGGUACAUAAGGUUUUUGUUUGGCAUUAUAUUUCCAUUUCUUGUCUGCCUCCCUUAUCCCCAAAUGGGGAUUUGUCAUUUUUCAACUCCUAGUAUUUCUUAACAUUGUAAGUAUAUUCCAGCAAUUCUCAUAAUAGUGGAAAUGAAAACUUUUUUUUUUAAAGCAAUGAACCCCUAUCAUACCCACAGUGUCAACUGGUAGUCUAAAAAAUUUUCCUCCAAAAAAGUCUAACUCCCUAGUUGAUUCUGAGUAUUCAAGCCCACAAUUACAUACAACUUAAAAGCCUAGGAUAGAAGGCGCAGGCCUUUUUACCCCGCAUGUGAGGUAGCAGACCAAUACCAAAGUCAGAAAGGUGAGAAAUGGUCCUCCCACAUUUUCAAAUAUGGGAAAAGGAAUUAUUCUUUUCUAUAUAAAAAGAUUUCAAAAGUCCUCUAGAUGCACACUUCCUGGGCUUUACUGAAACCCAUAAGAUAGGAAAGUACACAGCUGCAUAGCAGUGAAAAGACCCAGAGUCAUAAGCUAUUUGUGGGUAAACAAGGUUUGUUCAGUGUUUCUCACAAGAGAGGUCACAGAAGUAGGCUUGAUACUACCAACUAGAGCUGCAUUGACCAACCUAACAGGACUUUAGUACACAGCCAUCACCAAGAAGGCAGCAGCAAUGAGGAGCAGGAAGUUGAAGACAUGGAAGAAAAGCUUUUAGCGUUAAGUCUACUCCAUUCCUAGAGUGUAAGGUGCUAAGAGCAGGGUCAAGGGUUUUGCAUAGGCUUUUGCAGGUUUCACAGGUGAGUUCCAACAGCAAUGCUGGUCCUUCUUCCAAAGGUGACUGAGACAUAGUGCUGUGGCCAGUAUGGCCAGCUUAGCUAUGACAGGUUCAACAGCUAGAAACUAAGAUUUAUAUGAAUACCAAGGCAAUAAUGUAGUUGCCCUAUUUCUCUCUUCUCUGAUGCAUUCUACUUAAUAGGCUAGAUAGAGAAGAAUUUUAACUGCAGAAAGGAUUUCUAUCCCUCACAAGUCUAUCCUUGUGAUCUCAUGUACUGGGGAAGAUUAUAAAAAGACUUUGAAAUAUCAAGUGUUGUCUCGCCCUAAAGAUGACUUGUAAAAAUGUGGAUGUCUGGCAUACUCACUCAUAUUUGGUGAGUAAUGAAUGCCACAGCCACCACCAACAUCCAACAAUUUGG
This is a long non-coding RNA of Otolemur garnettii (small-eared galago), 2696 nucleotides long. RefSeq lists it as uncharacterized. The transcript has 7 exons. The record is from RefSeq and is a predicted model, not a curated record. NCBI's taxonomy places the organism in Eukaryota, Metazoa, Chordata, Mammalia, Primates, Galagidae.